Molecule: long non-coding RNA, 645 nt
Filed under: Malus domestica (apple)
Lineage: Eukaryota; Viridiplantae; Streptophyta; Magnoliopsida; Rosales; Rosaceae
Description: long non-coding RNA (MDOM_LNC002542)
Source: RNAcentral
UGGAUGCACUCUUCCACUUCAUCCAUCCAGCUUGUAUUCUAUGGUUGAGGUCUUCAUCCAAUUCUCCAUUCUUUUGCAAGAUAGAUCCUAAGUAGCAAAAAUGGUCGCUCUUUGGUACUUCCUGGUCUCCAAUCCUCACCCCUAACUCAUUUGAGCAUCCGUUUGCACUGAACUUGCAUAGAAAAAAGGUAGAUAUGUGGAAAAAAUCAAUCUCCAACUUCCAAUUACGCAUAAUAGCAGAUAAGAGUCGCGUAAUAACGAAUGAGAGUAGUCAUCACACAAGAUUAGCCUAAAGCACAUGAAUAAGUCGCAAAGAAGUGCUUCGAAUCGGGAGAUAGAUAUAAAGUUAAAAGGAGCGAAAAAAUUUAUAAAUAAAAAAGGUUUGGGGGGGAAGGAUUAGGAUGAUGAGGAUUGAGCAAAGAAAGGUUAUUGGAUACUAAAAUCUCAACAUGACUAGUCUCACAAUGGACUUGUUAUUCACUAACACGAAAAUCAAAUGUCAGGAGAAAGAGGGAGAAACUUGCUCUGUCCUUCCCUCUUGCAGCUGUAGUUUUUCUCUAGGUCUUAGACUAAGUCACUAGUAAGCAUCAUUAACAAGCAAGUAGUGAAAGAGAUCCAAUUUUCGUUAUGAAGUACAUUGAACGA